This 457-nucleotide ribosomal RNA is filed under the name uncultured bacterium. RNAcentral describes it as "bacterial SSU rRNA". It matches the Rfam family "Bacterial small subunit ribosomal RNA", at positions 340 to 786 of the family's 1533-position model. The record is from RNAcentral.
UACGGAAGGCAGCAGUGGGGAAUAUUGCACAAUGGGCGAAAGCCUGAUGCAGCUAUGCCGCGUGUAUGAAGAAGGCCUUAGGGUUGUAAAGUACUUUCAUCGGGGAGGAAAAACAAAACUAAUAAUUUUAUUUCUUGACGUUACCCGAAAAAGAAGCACCGGCUAACUCCGUGCCAGCAGCCGCGGUAAUACGGAGGGUGCUAGCGUUAAUCAGAAUUACUGGGCGUAAAGAGCACGUAGGUGGUUUUUUAAGUCAGAUGUGAAAUCCCUGGGCUUAACCUAGGAACUGCAUUUUGAAACUGAAAUACUAGAGUAUCGUAGAGGGAGGUAGAAUUCUAGGUGUAGCGGUGAAAAUGCGUAGAUAUCUGGAGGAAUACCUGUGGCGAAAGCGGCCUCCUAAACGAAUACUGACACUGAGGUGCGAAAAGCGUGGGGAGCAAAACAGGGAUUAGAUACC